GACGAACGCUGGCGGCGUGCUUAACACAUGCAAGUCGAACGGAAAGGCCCUGCUUUUGUGGGGUGCUCGAGUGGCGAACGGGUGAGUAACACGUGAGUAACCUGCCCUUGACUUUGGGAUAACUUCAGGAAACUGGGGCUAAUACCGGAUAGGAGCUCCUGCUGCAUGGUGGGGGUUGGAAAGUUUCGGCGGUUGGGGAUGGACUCGCGGCUUAUCCGCUUGUUGGUGGGGUAGUGGCUUACCAAGGCUUUGACGGGUAGCCGGCCUGGGAGGGUGACCGGCCACAUUGGGACUGAGAUACGGCCCAGACUCCUACGGGAGGCAGCAGUGGGGAAUAUUGCACAAUGGGCGGAAGCCUGAUGCAGCAACGCCGGGUGCGGGAUGACGGCCUUCGGGUUGUAAACCGCUGUCGCCUGUGACGAAGCGUGAGUGACGGUAAUGGGUAAAGAAGCACCGGCUAACUACGUG
This 468-nucleotide ribosomal RNA is filed under the name uncultured bacterium. RNAcentral describes it as "partial 16S ribosomal RNA". It matches the Rfam family "Bacterial small subunit ribosomal RNA", at positions 28 to 507 of the family's 1533-position model. The record is from RNAcentral.